GUGGCCUUCAAGGAUGAAGGAGGAAUCACUGUUGUUGAUUUAAGUCGCGUUUUCAGAAGAUAUUGCUGAUGCCAUGGAUGUACCGAGUCCUUUUGGCACUGCAUUAAGUAUGGCAGCUGCCUUAAAGACAGACCAUGAAGCCAGUGGUAGGGAACUGGUGCAUAUACUGCUUGCUGCUGGAGUUGAUGCUACUGUGCAAGACACCCAGCAUGGGCGGAUAGGAUAAGCUGGAUACUCCUUUUUUAUGGCUUGGAAAUGGACUCAUCUUUAUUUAAUCAAGUGUUGUACUAUUGAGAAGAUUAUCUUUGAAUUCCAUCUGAUGUCGCGUUAUCUGCGUUCUGGUAUAUUUCUUUCACAUUACUCAUAUGUUGUAUUUUUUACUUGAUUUUGUAGGCUAGAUCUUGGUCUCUUAAGGGAUCACUCAAGUUUAAAAAUGUGUUCGUUUAUAGUGAACUUUGGGAUGGUAUAUUUCAAGGUUUUUUUUUAUAUAUAACAUAGUUUGUAAAUGAAUUUUAUUAUUUUCAACUCUGUUCUAGAAUGGGUUCUAUAUUGACAUGGCAAGUUUUUUAACUGUUAUCCAGGUACUUGCAACAUGAGAGUU
This is a long non-coding RNA of Helianthus annuus (common sunflower), 601 nucleotides long. RefSeq lists it as uncharacterized. NCBI's taxonomy places the organism in Eukaryota, Viridiplantae, Streptophyta, Magnoliopsida, Asterales, Asteraceae. The transcript has 3 exons. The record is from RefSeq and is a predicted model, not a curated record.